CCUGCCUCAUACAGGGGAAUAACAACCGGAAACGGUUGCUGAAAACCGCAUAAUAUGCUAACAUCGCAUGAUGACUGCAUUAAAUAUUUAUAGGUAUGAGAUGGGCCCGCGUCUGAUUAGCUAGUUGGUGAGAUAAAAGCUCACCAAGGCGACGAUCAGUAGCCGGCUUGAGAGAGUGACCGGCCACAUUGGGACUGAGACACGGCCCAAACUCCUACGGGAGGCAGCAGUGGGGAAUAUUGCACAAUGGGGGAAACCCUGAUGCAGCGACGCCGCGUGAGUGAAGAAGUAUUUCGGUAUGUAAAGCUCUAUCAGCAGGGAAGAAAAUGACGGUACCUGACUAAGAAGCCCCGGCUAACUACGUGCCAGCAGCCGCGGUAAUACGUAGGGGGCAAGCGUUAUCCGGAUUUACUGGGUGUAAAGGGAGCGUAGGUGGCGAGUCAAGUCAGAUGUGAAAGCCCGGGGCUCAACCCCGGGAUUGCAUUUGAAACUGGUUUGCUAGAGUGCAGGAGAGGUAAGUGGAAUUCCUAGUGUAGCGGUGAAAUGCGUAGAUAUUAGGAGGAACACCAGUGGCGAAGGCGGCUUACUG
Molecule: ribosomal RNA, 589 nt
Filed under: uncultured bacterium
Lineage: Bacteria
Description: bacterial SSU rRNA
Rfam family: Bacterial small subunit ribosomal RNA
Source: RNAcentral